GAGGGUAUAGCUCAGUGGUAGAGCGCAUGCUUAUUUAGCAUGUAUGAGCUCCUGGGUUGAAUUCCUAGUACCUUCA
Molecule: transfer RNA, 76 nt
Filed under: Camelus bactrianus (Bactrian camel)
Lineage: Eukaryota; Metazoa; Chordata; Mammalia; Artiodactyla; Camelidae
Also listed under: 1 other name
Rfam family: tRNA
About the family: Transfer RNA (tRNA) molecules are approximately 80 nucleotides in length.
Source: Rfam by way of RNAcentral